CGGUUCGAGUCCGCUUACCUCCACUGAAAACUACCCUGAUAACUAAAUUUCAGGAGAAAAUUUGUAAAUGUGACUUAGAUUUGUCUAUUUGAAAAGAACCUAGCUUCUUAUCAUCUUUUUUUAUAGUUGAUAAUAUGCUGGGCUCCCAUGAAACUAUUUCAUGAGAAUUCAGUA
This 174-nucleotide unclassified non-coding RNA is filed under the name uncultured cyanobacterium. RNAcentral describes it as "partial 16S-23S ribosomal RNA intergenic spacer". The record is from RNAcentral. Lineage: Bacteria; Bacillati; Cyanobacteriota.